AGAGCGAACGCUGGCGGCAGGCCUAACACAUGCAAGUCGAGCGCCCCGCAAGGGGAGCGGCAGACGGGAGAGUAACACGUGGGAACGUACCUUUCGGUUCGGAACAACCCAGGGAAACUUGGGCUAAUACCGGAUACGUCCGUAAGGAGAAAGAUUUAUCGCCGAAAGAUCGGCCCGCGUCUGAUUAGCUAGUUGGUGAGGUAACGGCUCACCAAGGCGACGAUCAGUAGCUGGUCUGAGAGGAUGAUCAGCCUCACUGGGACUGAGACACGGCCCAGACUCCUACGGGAGGCAGCAGUGGGGAAUAUUGGACAAUGGGCGCAAGCCUGAUCCAGCCAUGCCGCGUGGGUGAUGAAGGCCCUAGGGUUGUAAAGCCCUUUCGGCGGGGAAGAUAAUGACGGUACCCGCAGAAGAAGCCCGGCUAACUUCGUGCCAGCAGCCGC
This 443-nucleotide ribosomal RNA is filed under the name uncultured bacterium. Its description in RNAcentral is "SSU rRNA". It matches the Rfam family "Bacterial small subunit ribosomal RNA", at positions 26 to 518 of the family's 1533-position model. The record is from RNAcentral.